RNAcentral lists this ribosomal RNA (673 nucleotides) under Bacillus paralicheniformis. RNAcentral's name for it is "bacterial SSU rRNA". It matches the Rfam family "Bacterial small subunit ribosomal RNA", at positions 1 to 659 of the family's 1533-position model. The record is from RNAcentral. Lineage: Bacteria; Bacillati; Bacillota; Bacilli; Caryophanales; Bacillaceae.
UGGAGAGUUUGAUCCUGGCUCAGGACGAACGCUGGCGGCGUGCCUAAUACAUGCAAGUCGAGCGGACAGAUGGGAGCUUGCUCCCUGAUGUCAGCGGCGGACGGGUGAGUAACACGUGGGUAACCUGCCUGUAAGACUGGGAUAACUCCGGGAAACCGGGGCUAAUACCGGAUGCUUGAUUGAACCGCAUGGUUCAAUUAUAAAAGGUGGCUUUUAGCUACCACUUACAGAUGGACCCGCGGCGCAUUAGCUAGUUGGUGAGGUAACGGCUCACCAAGGCGACGAUGCGUAGCCGACCUGAGAGGGUGAUCGGCCACACUGGGACUGAGACACGGCCCAGACUCCUACGGGAGGCAGCAGUAGGGAAUCUUCCGCAAUGGACGAAAGUCUGACGGAGCAACGCCGCGUGAGUGAUGAAGGUUUUCGGAUCGUAAAACUCUGUUGUUAGGGAAGAACAAGUACCGUUCGAAUAGGGCGGUACCUUGACGGUACCUAACCAGAAAGCCACGGCUAACUACGUGCCAGCAGCCGCGGUAAUACGUAGGUGGCAAGCGUUGUCCGGAAUUAUUGGGCGUAAAGCGCGCGCAGGCGGUUUCUUAAGUCUGAUGUGAAAGCCCCCGGCUCAACCGGGGAGGGUCAUUGGAAACUGGGGAACUUGAGUGCAGAAGAGGAG